RNAcentral lists this ribosomal RNA (253 nucleotides) under uncultured bacterium. RNAcentral's name for it is "partial 16S ribosomal RNA". It matches the Rfam family "Bacterial small subunit ribosomal RNA", at positions 524 to 776 of the family's 1533-position model. The record is from RNAcentral.
UACGUAGGGUGCAAGCGUUGUCCGGAAUUAUUGGGCGUAAAGAGCUCGUAGGCGGUCUGUCGCGUCUGCUGUGAAAAUCCAGGGCUCAACCCUGGACCUGCAGUGGGUACGGGCAGACUAGAGUGCGGUAGGGGAGAUCGGAAUUCCUGGUGUAGCGGUGAAAUGCGCAGAUAUCAGGAGGAACACGGGUGGCGAAGGCGGAUCUCUGGGCCGUAACUGACGCUGAGGAGCGAAAGCAUGGGGAGCGAACAGG